Molecule: ribosomal RNA, 252 nt
Filed under: uncultured bacterium
Lineage: Bacteria
Description: partial 16S ribosomal RNA
Rfam family: Bacterial small subunit ribosomal RNA
Source: RNAcentral
UACGGAGGAGGCAAGCGUUAUCCGGAAUGAUUGGGCGUAAAGGGUCCGCAGGUGGCCCUGUAAGUCUGCUGUUAAAGAGUGAGGCUUAACCUCAUAAAAGCAGUGGAAACUACAGAGCUAGAGUGCGUUCGGGGUAGCAGGAAUUCCUGGUGUAGCGGUGAAAUGCGUAGAGAUCAGGAAGAACGCCGGUGGCGAAGCGUGCUACUAGGCCGUAACUGACACUGAGGGACGAAAGCUAGGGGAGCGAAUGGG